Molecule: ribosomal RNA, 418 nt
Filed under: uncultured bacterium
Lineage: Bacteria
Description: bacterial SSU rRNA
Rfam family: Bacterial small subunit ribosomal RNA
Source: RNAcentral
UCGGGAAUAUUGGACAAUGGGCGAAAGCCUGAUCCAGCAACGCCGCGUGCGGGACGAAGGCCCUCGGGUCGUAAACCGCUGUCAGGAGGGAGGAACGGUGCGUGGUUAAGAGCUGCGUACUUUGACAGUACCUCCAGAGGAAGCCCCGGCUAACUCCGUGCCAGCAGCCGCGGUAAUACGAAGGGGGCUAGCGUUGUUCGGAUUUACUGGGCGUAAAGCGCACGUAGGCGGAUCGUUAAGUGAGGGGUGAAAUCCCAGGGCUCAACCUUGGAACUGCCCUUUAAAAGCUGCUAGUCUAGAGACCGGAAGAGGUUAGGGGAAUACCUAGUGUAGAGGUGAAAAUUCGUAGAUAUUAGGAGGAACACCAGUGGCGAAGGCGCCUACCUGGACCGAUACUGACGCUGAGGUGCGAAAGUGU